This 694-nucleotide ribosomal RNA is filed under the name Pseudomonas sp. S8(2009). RNAcentral's name for it is "bacterial SSU rRNA". It matches the Rfam family "Bacterial small subunit ribosomal RNA", at positions 84 to 774 of the family's 1533-position model. The record is from RNAcentral. Lineage: Bacteria; Pseudomonadati; Pseudomonadota; Gammaproteobacteria; Pseudomonadales; Pseudomonadaceae.
UCCUUGAUUUAGCGGCGGACGGGUGAGUAAUGCCUAGGAAUCUGCCUAGUGGUGGGGGAUAACGUUCCGAAAGGAACGCUAAUACCGCAUACGUCCUACGGGAGAAAGCGGGGGAUCUUCGGACCUCGCGCCAUUAGAUGAGCCUAGGUCGGAUUAGCUAGUUGGUGAGGUAACGGCUCACCAAGGCGACGAUCCGUAACUGGUCUGAGAGGAUGAUCAGUCACACUGGAACUGAGACACGGUCCAGACUCCUACGGGAGGCAGCAGUGGGGAAUAUUGGACAAUGGGCGAAAGCCUGAUCCAGCCAUGCCGCGUGUGUGAAGAAGGUCUUCGGAUUGUAAAGCACUUUAAGUUGGGAGGAAGGGUAUUCACCUAAUACGUGAGUAUUUUGACGUUACCGACAGAAUAAGCACCGGCUAACUUCGUGCCAGCAGCCGCGGUAAUACGAAGGGUGCAAGCGUUAAUCGGAAUUACUGGGCGUAAAGCGCGCGUAGGUGGUUCGUUAAGUUGGAUGUGAAAGCCCCGGGCUCAACCUGGGAACUGCAUCCAAAACUGGCGAGCUAGAGUACGGUAGAGGGUGGUGGAAUUUCCUGUGUAGCGGUGAAAUGCGUAGAUAUAGGAAGGAACACCAGUGGCGAAGGCGACCACCUGGACUGAUACUGACACUGAGGUGCGAAAGCGUGGGGAGCAAACA